GGGUGUUUGGUGUUGCGUAUGGCGAGGAUGCCAUACGCGAGCGGAAUGUGGGUUCACACCCUUUCCAGCAGAGCUAGGGGCUGCGCACAGGUCACUGGUUCGAGUCCAGUAGUGCCCA
Molecule: transfer RNA, 118 nt
Filed under: Chloroflexota bacterium
Lineage: Bacteria; Bacillati; Chloroflexota
Description: Chloroflexi bacterium (anaerobic digester metagenome) tRNA-Cys
Source: RNAcentral